UGGGGAAUAUUGCGCAAUGGGGGGAACCCUGACGCAGCCAUGCCGCGUGAAUGAAGAAGGCCUUCGGGUUGUAAAGUUCUUUCGGUAUUGAGGAAGGUUGAUGUGUUAAUAGCACAUCAAAUUGACGUUAAAUACAGAAGAAGCACCGGCUAACUCCGUGCCAGCAGCCGCGGUAAUACGGAGGGUGCGAGCGUUAAUCGGAAUAACUGGGCGUAAAGGGCACGCAGGCGGUUAUUUAAGUGAGGUGUGAAAGCCCUGGGCUUAACCUAGGAAUUGCAUUUCAGACUGGGUAACUAGAGUACUUUAGGGAGGGGUAGAAUUCCACGUGUAGCGGUGAAAUGCGUAGAGAUGUGGAGGAAUACCGAAGGCGAAGGCAGCCCCUUGGGAAUGUACUGACGCUCAUGUGCGAAAGCGUGGGGAGCAAACAGGAUUAGAUACCCUGGUAGUCCACGCUGUAAACGCUGUCGAUUUGGGGGUUGGGGUUUAACUCUGGCGCCCGUAGCUAACGUGAUUCGACCGCCUGGGGAGUACGGCCGCAAGGUUA
Molecule: ribosomal RNA, 544 nt
Filed under: uncultured bacterium
Lineage: Bacteria
Description: bacterial SSU rRNA
Rfam family: Bacterial small subunit ribosomal RNA
Source: RNAcentral